GGGCGCGUAGCUCAGUGGUAGAGCCGUCGUCUUAUACACGACUGGUCGCAGGUUCGAUCCCUGCCGCGCCCA
This 72-nucleotide transfer RNA is filed under the name Minisyncoccota bacterium. RNAcentral describes it as "tRNA-Ile". It matches the Rfam family "tRNA". Rfam says of the family: Transfer RNA (tRNA) molecules are approximately 80 nucleotides in length. Their secondary structure includes four short double-helical elements and three loops (D, anti-codon, and T loops). The record is from RNAcentral. RNAcentral also lists the same sequence under 1 other name. Lineage: Bacteria; Bacillati; Minisyncoccota.